GUUUGUGUUGUGAAAUUAACCUCUUCAAAGCUAAUCUUGUUGGGGAGUUAGCCAAACCCCUUGUAUUCCAAUAGAUGCACUUCAUUUGAAAGGUUUUUGAUUAACCUUUGACCUGGUUGCAUAAGAUUCUUUACUUGAUUGAUUCACCUUCUUUUGAGCUUUCUUUUGAUUUUUGGAUAGAAUUAUUUGGAAUCCAUCAUCAAUUUGAGUUUGUUGUUUUUCUGUUUCCUCAACUACACAAUCUUCUUUUUUUGCUUCUUCUGUCAUGUUGUCCCAAGACUCUCUAAGAAAAUGCAUGUCUCUUUUCACUCUUUCGGAUGUGCCGGCUAACUGGGAGGUUGGAGUUUCAGGUAAACCAACACCACUAGCUGGUUGUUUUUGAGUAGCAUCAAUAAAGGAUCCUGCUGAGCUAGCAUUUGCCUUACUUGAAGCAGUUUUCUCAUUACUAGUUUCAUGGCCUAUAUCGGCAUUUAACUCAUUCUCCAGCUCCUUGUCUUGUUCUCUAAACUCCUGCUCCUUGUCUUUCUCAAGUAACAGCUCCUGUUCAUUGGUUUUUUGUUGGGAUGCUUCAACAUUGAUAACUUCUUUUUCCACAUUGAUAAUUUCAUUUGUUUUGUCCUGCUGAACUCUGCCAUCUUUUGUUUGGACAAACACAUUUUUUG
Molecule: long non-coding RNA, 662 nt
Filed under: Trifolium pratense (red clover)
Lineage: Eukaryota; Viridiplantae; Streptophyta; Magnoliopsida; Fabales; Fabaceae
Description: long non-coding RNA (TPRA_LNC000455)
Source: RNAcentral